Molecule: ribosomal RNA, 102 nt
Filed under: Carlito syrichta (Philippine tarsier)
Lineage: Eukaryota; Metazoa; Chordata; Mammalia; Primates; Tarsiidae
Source: RNAcentral
AUCUACAGCCAUACCAUCCUGAACGCACCCGAUCUUGUCUGAUCUCAAAAACUAAACAGGGUCAGGUCUGGUUAGUCCCAAGAGAGGAAUCCCCUUUAGUUA